Long non-coding RNA from Hydra vulgaris (swiftwater hydra), 1422 nucleotides. RefSeq lists it as uncharacterized. NCBI's taxonomy places the organism in Eukaryota, Metazoa, Cnidaria, Hydrozoa, Anthoathecata, Hydridae. The record is from RefSeq and is a predicted model, not a curated record.
UAUUUGAAGAUUAGCAUUUUAUUUUUUUAUAACUUGCUGGUUGAAGAAAACAAAAUCAUAGUGUUUGUAUUUUCAACAUUAUUGUUUUCUCUUUUACAUUAAAAACAAUUUCAUAAAAAGUACAUUAUAACAUUAUUUAGGUUGAUAAAUCUUUGUAAAGUGUGCUAUUAUGUCUGAAUGGUGUCGUGUAAAGUGGCUUGAAGAAGAAAAAGUUUACUCUGACACUGUUCCUUUAAGUUGGAUUAAUGGUAAAGUUUUGAGAUGGCGAAAAAAAGGAGCUGAAAAAAAAUUAAGGGACCAGGUUGAACCUCGUGAUGAUUGGUUUAAAUUUCAAGUUCUCAAAAUUAAAUUAACUGAUAAAGAUUUUAUGACUUGCUAUUCAUAUAAUAUUACAACUGAUACUGACUCUUGUGGUUUUGAUUUUAAAAAAGAUGUCUCAAGUUGCAAAAAAAAGUAAAAAUUUGCAGUACACUAUCUCCAAAGCCUGAAAUCAAAUUAGGUUUUAGAAAUAAAAAAGCAUUUACCCCAGAAUUAGAAAAAGAACCUAAAUCUUUCACAAGAAGCAAGUCAGAAUAAAGUAAAUAUUGAUUUGAAUCAACCUACUCAGUCAGUAUUUAGUUUUUGAAGUUCAUCAAAAUCCCAUAAUUUAAGAAAAUCGCGCUUUCGAUCUUCCAGUAGUUCUUGUUCACUCUCUCCUCAGAGUAAAAGUAAAAGAAGACCAGAUUAUUGUUUUCUUUUACAAUCAGAGAAAAUUGAAACACAAAGUGAACUCUCUUGUGGAUUACCAAAAAGUAAAGAACAUUCUACUCUGGCUAUUAACAGAAAUAACUUCCAAUGAGUGAUCAAAAUUUCCAGUAUGAAGUCAUGUUUACAAUGUCAACCCAAAAGUAGAUUGUCACAUAAUUUAAGUGCGGAAAUUCCAACUUAAUUCUUGACAGUAGAAGAUUUGAAUGAAUUUGAACUUAAAAUGCAUGAUAAUAGUUUUACACAAGAAUUUGUUAAACAACUCUCACGUGUUGGUGGAAAACCAUCUAAAUAUAUGGUUAAGGACCUAAUAUAAAGAUUGAUGUCAAAUGAUCUUCAGAAAAAAUUCAGCAUGAUUGGUUUAAAAGGAAAGCUUAAGUUUGAAAAAACUUUGUUGUAUAAUGUAAUAAAUAAAGCAGUAUUAAAUGUCUUUCCGGAUGCUACCAGCUCAGAAGUACGAAUAGAAGUGAUGAACCAUUUAAAAUAUGCUGCAGAUUGUAAAAACCGGAAAACACUUCGGACAAGCGCCAGAAAUGAUGUCAUGUCUAUCAGUUCGAAUUUUGCAGAAGAAGCCAGUAAAACAUAAUUUUUAUAUAAUUUUUUCACUAAGUGUUUUUUUUUUUUUUUUUUAUAUACUUCAAUAUAAUAAAGUCUUUAUUUUUCAACAUUUCUUUUGAA